UAAUUAUUUAUUCAACAAUAAACACCUCCAAAUAAAUAUUUAUAUAAUCAAUAAAUAUUUAAAUUACAAUUUAAAAUUUUGGAUCAUUACAUCCUUCCCUCCUUACAAGGAUUCUGUCCCCAGAUCACAAUUCAAACAAUCAAAUCGUCACACCCUACCUUCAUCCGAUGCAUACACCCGGUUUGACAAAUCCCUCUUAUAACAAUGGAUUCUAUACAUAAUUAAGAACAAACAUAUAAGAAUAAAACAAUCAAAGCAGAACAAACAAAUCCCAGAAAUUGGUAGUAGCAACCAAGAAAAUACCUUCUGGGAAUAUCAAAACGUUCAUAAGAAACCUGUAAUCACAAUUUUUCAGUUGGGAUCCCCUAUAUUAUAUAUAUUCCCUACGAAUUAUAUAUACCAAGGAAAUAAUAUUGAAAAGUGUGGUCACAAAUCACAAUACUACAUUUAAAAAACCCUUCCAACAACCAUUCCGCAAUAAUACCCUGCGCACAGAGAUGAUAAAAUUAGAAGGUAGCCAAUUUAUAUGGUGGCACAACCCGGUAAGAGUUUGAAAAAUGACACACGCACACACACACAACUGAAUUAAUGUUAAGAGAUUAACAAAUAAAAAAUUUCACCUUGCAGUCUGUAGCAAAUAAAAAUUACAUCCACUAAGAAUUAGUCGGUAUUAAAGUUCAUACUGAAAAAGCAUACAUAAAAAUAGCUUCUUAGACUAAUAUCUGUCUAUAUAUAGUAUUGGAAGUUUUCUCUCUCUAUAUGUAUGGAUAUCCCAUGGAGGAUAAAAUUAAUAAAUUUAGUACCUCGAUCAGAAAGUCAAAUCAAAUUCUUUCCUUUUGAUGAUUAUAGCCUCUCGUUCUUCAUGUAUUUAAUUUGGUAGAUGCUUCGAUUCCUAGCAAUACCGCACAGAAGAACAUAAAUCUCCCUCUAUAUCUCUCUAUACUAUGAAAAAACAAUAAUAUCAAAAUUUACUUGACAGAUUUAUGAUGAUUCAAUAUUUACUACAGGAACCGAGACAAAGAUCAUAUACUAUAUCAAAAGGCACAAGAAACAUAUAUGACGAAUAACAUGCAGAACUCUAGACAAACAGUACGUACUUAUAUCUUCAAGUAAGAGUAAAAGAGUCGGAAGCUUACCUUCAAACUUGAAAUAAGAGCAAUUAAGUUUUUUUUCCUUUGCCUUCUCCUGUAAAAUAAAUGGCCCCAAUGGAGAAUUCUCCUUUCCUUUUGUAUUUAAGUUAAUUCGUUAUACUGAAUUAAUUCUUGCGAUAACUUGUCCUCCUAGCUCAAACCCUUUUCCUAUUGUGGCAUCUCUCUCUUUAUAUAUCUAUCCUUGCAAUAAUUAAUAAGCGUGUUUCCAUAGAAAAACAUUGAAAUAGUUGAUUUGUUAGAACUAAUAUUGUUAAUACUAACUUAUUUAUAAUUAGAGGUCUAAUUAAGUAGUUUAAGAAAUAGAGAGAACUAUAAUAGUAGUAAUAUGACUAGUUUGUCCUCAUAUCAUAUCAUACUACAAUAAUUCGUAGGAUAUAUAUAUAUAUAUAUAUAUAUAUAUAUAUAUAUAACAUGCUUUGAGUUGAACUAAUUUUUCAGUUUAGCAAACAUCAUGCAUCCAUGAUGCCUAGACAAAGAUCAAUAAAUAUCUUGAGCAAUAAAGGUUAAUUUUUUAUAAAUAAUAAUAAUAAUUUAAUUUUUUUCAAAAAAAAAUUGCUCAACACCUGCAUACUAAUAUAGAGAUAUCUCAAGUUCAAAUAGAGAACCAACAAAAGCAACACUUACAUUUUAGCAGAAGAAUCAUGAUUUGAAUCUUCAUCUGCUCCCUGCAGUCAAGAAGCAAUAUCUCUAAGAAUACAGAAAAUGAAACAAAUAGGAAACAACAAAUAGGAAGCAAUGUAUGCUCAGCCACUAGCUUACCCGCAUGGUUCUAUCAUUGACAAACCCCCACUUUUCUUUCUGAAGAGCUAGUAUUUCUUCAUUGCCAUCAGUAUAUAAUACCUAUUACAGAUACCAAAAAUUGUAUAAAAUUCAUUAGCACUUCAAGACAAAUUAAGAACGCUGCACUUACAUAUCAGUAAUACCCAAAUAACUAUCUAAACCGAAUGGGUACCUUAUGCUUCUUCUUGUGAGGAUCAAAGGAAACAACUUCAAAUACAGAAUUUGCACUCCGACACCCUUCUAAAAUUAGUCCUAGUAGUUUUUUUGAAACAAAAGAAGCCCAUAGAUUGUAUCGAAUUAAGUUACCCCAAAAUCAAAUAUAGAAUUUACACAUUAUUAUCUGGAGAGAUUAAAAUUAAUGCCCUAAAUAAACUUACUCACCACUUCAUAGCAGAUAAAAAAAUAGUGUUCAAAAGAUGUUAAUAGAAAAUAGGGCAGGUCAUUGUUUAAGGACUCAUUCAGAAUACCCUUCAUUGUAUUAAGGUCAAAAGGACAUACCUUUUUAUAAAACCUUACAUGCAUAAAAUUGUGCCUACGUAUCUUACUCAAGAAUUGAAACUUAGUAGGCAAAUAGCACAAUGGACAGAUUUUACUUAAAGUCUAAACAGUUAAUCACUGAGUCAUCAAGAGGAAAGAUAUAGUGAUUAAUCUUUGGGAAAUUUAGCAUACAAGGGUCAAGGUCAAACGCUUCAAGCAAAAUAGUCUGAUCUAACACUAUUUUCCUACCUUACACAUAAGUAGCUAUACUAUGCAAAGUGCCAACAUCUUUUAUAAAUUCCAUAUGAUCAUAAAACUCACUAACUAAAUCCAGAUAAACACACCUACUUGAAAAAGAAAUUAGAUAAACACAACCAAUUUUCUUCAAAUUGACAAGCAAAUCAGGAUGAGAAUGAAAAAUAAUAGUAGGCCCAGUCAUGAAAUUAUACUUCAUUGCAUUAUACUUUAACUGAGCAAAUUCAGUUAGCAUGUUGGGAUCAAUUAAUGGUGUUGACAUUUUGGUUCUUUUAGAAGAAGAAGGGACAGAAAAAAAAGUGGGUUCAUAGGGAAUUAUAGCUGAUAUGGUAGAAGAUAUAAUGGUAGUAUACUAGCAUUUUUAAGCAGAUAGAUAUAUUUAUACACAAGUUCAUAUAGGAGUGGUCAUGUCAAAGUAAGGCUUUACCCAAGCAUGCAUUUCAGAAGAGAAGAGUAGGCAUGACAUAAUCCUUGAUCUGAUUUUUAGAAAUAAUUUUAAACAUUAUUCACAUAGUUCAUACAUAAUGUGUCAAUUAAAUCGAAUUUGAACAAGAAAAAUCAUAAUCAACCAUACAAACAAAUGAUAGUCGAAACAUUAAAUUUUGUCGCAUAUUUAACAUUUUGAACACACAUCUUGUUUCAAACAGAGUUUGGUUCAAAUACUAAAAUGAAAUUUUUAUACCUAGAUUACACAACAAAAGUAUCAAUUCAAAUAAAUACUAAAUAAAAGAUAUUAAAUAAUGAUCAUAACUUAAAACUCAAGAGUGAUAAAUCAAACACAAAUGAACAUAAACAUAUCUAAAAUACAAAACAAAGUCUCAACUAAAUUAGUAAAAUAAAAUUUAUGACACUUAAUUCACAAGAAGCAUAAAUCUAGAAGGUGUUGCUUCUUGCCAAUUUAAAGAUUUGUUUCAAACUAAUGAAUCAAACACUUUGAGCAUACAUUAAAAAGGCUCAUACAUACUCCUUAUAAUCUCAAAAAUGACAGACUAAAAGUUACCAUCCCUUAACCCAGUUAAGAGUAAAGAUCAUCAAAUUACCAGAAGAUGAAACUAUAUUGAUAAAUGACCCACAAAAAUGAGAGAAAAUCAAAAACCUAUAAUUACUGGAAAUCAUGAUUAACAAGGCUAUAUAUUCCAAAUUUCCAAUAGAAAACAGAGGUUGUCCACAACAAAAAAAUAAAAAUAAAGUCCCCAAAUCCAAUCUUCAUUUGUGUACAUACACGCAAUUAUUUUGCGAUGAAAAUCCAAUCACGACAAACAUCAAGAAAUCAGAGCAACUAAGAAAGACACAUAUUUAGUUUAUAAUCACCGAGAAUUGUAUAUAAAAUUAUAAAUUUCUAGAUAAAUAUAAAUAUAAUUAAAUACCUGGUGUGGUCCUUGGAAGAGGUUGUGGUGGAAAAAUUAAGGCGAUGAUGAGCAGAAAUAUCUGCAGUGUUGAGAAUAAUGGAAACAUCAUCAUCCUCCUCGGGAACUAGGGUAGGGGCAAAAAGGUUGGGGCGGUAGGCUCGCCACUCGCGAUUGGGCUGGGGAAGAGUAAUACGCAACUGGGCUGGAGAAGGGGUAGGCCACGAGUCGCGACUGGUUGCGUUAGGGGUGCCUAUUGGCGGUGAGUUGUGAGAGAGAUGAUGGCAGAUUUGGGCGCAACGGCAGUUAGGAGUAGAAGCAAAACUGAAGGGCUCAGGCUGAAGGCUGAAGGCGUACACAACUCCUGAUUAUAAUAGGAACUCGUUU
This 4396-nucleotide long non-coding RNA is filed under the name Panax ginseng (ginseng). RNAcentral's name for it is "long non-coding RNA (PGIN_LNC009416)". Lineage: Eukaryota; Viridiplantae; Streptophyta; Magnoliopsida; Apiales; Araliaceae. The record is from RNAcentral.